RNAcentral lists this non-coding RNA (44 nucleotides) under Trichobilharzia regenti. The record is from RNAcentral. Lineage: Eukaryota; Metazoa; Platyhelminthes; Trematoda; Strigeidida; Schistosomatidae.
AUCUACUGACGAGUCCCAAAUAGGACGAAAUCCACGUUUUAUAU